This 211-nucleotide long non-coding RNA is filed under the name Homo sapiens (human). RNAcentral's name for it is "HSALNT0330351". Lineage: Eukaryota; Metazoa; Chordata; Mammalia; Primates; Hominidae. The record is from RNAcentral.
CUAAAACAUACUGAUCGAGUUCCUACAUUAAAGAAAACACAGGACUCAAGAAUUAGAGUGAAAACUUACUGUUUUUGCUGCUGACCUCUCAUGCUUUCCUAUGGCACCAGAGCUCUGAUUUUGAAGAACAUCCUUUACAUACCGUCUGCUGAGAUGUCAGUAAAAAUGCCUUAUCCAGACCUGAGGAUCCAGCCAUACUGAGGAAGAUGUG